Long non-coding RNA from Dunckerocampus dactyliophorus (ringed pipefish), 2564 nucleotides. RefSeq lists it as uncharacterized. Lineage: Eukaryota; Metazoa; Chordata; Actinopteri; Syngnathiformes; Syngnathidae. The transcript has 3 exons. The record is from RefSeq and is a predicted model, not a curated record.
AGGCAAUAAUGUUUGUGACUUUUCCCCCUCUCGCUUCGUUUGGGCUCUGCCUCUUUGGCAGGGGAGCAGAAGUGGGCAGGAAGAGAGAAGGGCAUGGCCCAGAAAGCACUCUCUCUCAAGCCCCAGCCCCUGUUCCAGUGAGGUUGCUUGCUCUUACGCCGUUCUGCCUUUUCCUUCGUCUUGCAGGCAAAACGAGAACGAAAGCAAUCUUGCGUCCUUGCUUACCCGCCUUUUUUUGUUUUUGGAGGCAGUGGCCUAAUUUUUUUGUACUAGUGUGGCCUGUGCAAAGACAAAACUCACCUCCAGACUUCACUCCCAGGUACUCUGCUCUGCCGCAAUUGCCAACUGACCCGCAAUGAGCUGCAGCUCCGAAGCACAGUGAAGAUCAACAGAUGAUCUUCUCCAUUCAAUCUCUCCUGUCCUUUAGGCUGAGGUAGUAGAUUGAAUAGUUGUGGGGUUUGUGUCCUAUCUGAGAUAACUAUACAGUCUACUGUCUUGGCCGACGAGACAGCUCCAUCUUCUGCCAGCAACAAGUGGACACAAAUAAAUAAUAUCUUUUACCCACUAUGCACCAGACUGGGGUGACUGGUGAGGGCUGGGAGUUGGGCCCAGCAAGGUGAGGUAGUAGGUUGUAUAGUUUGUGGGUACGGAGUGAGCCCCCUAGAGGUGAUAACUAUACAGUCUAUUACCUUCCUUGAGGCGCACAAAAACAGUGAGGCUCAUUGCAUGCUGCCAUCGCGUGGCCAAGGCGGCACAUUACAUUACCUUGCAAAAUGAAAAGUGCUUUAUUUGUGUGCACUAAAAUGUAUCAUUUUGCAUGACACUUGAAGAGGUCAUUCUGUCCUCAGAAACACUAACCAGCCCUCUCCUGAACUAAACAUGUUGAAGCGGCAACAUUGGCAGAAACAUUGGCUAAGUCGGCGAAAAAACUUUGAUACUCUUACUAGCCACGGAAUGUGAGCAGCAAUAGCCAGUUUAAGAUAGCUGGGUUAGCUUGGUUUAGCGGAGCGUGCUAAUGCGGCUGUGUGUGUGUGCCACUCAGGCUGUACGAGUUGUGCUUUAUUGCUUGUUAAUGUAACCCAGCGUUUUAGGUUGGCCACUGUCUUUGUUCAAGUUGUGCGUUCAGAAAAAUUUGUUAUGAUGGCAGGCCUAGUUACACAUAAAUGUAAUAAUUAUAAAUAAUUAUGAAAACAAAGGCACAUAACGUACAGAAAAAAAUAAGGAAAUUAAUUCAUUACGAGGCUUAUUACUGAGCCAAAUGGACAUAUGUGCACAUAUAGCAUGAGAUUAUGCACCAAGCAAAAAUGCACAGCAGCACAGAACUAACAUUAUUAAACUUCACCUCCGUGCAUUUACGCAUGGGAUAAACAUUUGUGAACAAGGACGAGGUGAAAGGAAGAAUAGAAAAAAGAAAGUCAUACACAUACAGUAAAUCGCAAUCUGCGUCACACAUGGCGUGUUCAAGGACCAUCGAACAAAGUGGCCGCAACGCCCGAAGAAGACACAUUAUUCGUGAAAACAUAAAUGUACUUACUUGUGCAAAAUUGGGGGCUUUCUAACAUAGUCAGUGCAUCCAAUCAACAAAUAAAUGACUCAUACAGCUCAGAAAACAAACUAAUGAUGCUGAAAAAAUGAGUUGGAAAGAAAAAAUGAGUUGGAAAUCUCAUAUCAAAAAUAUACAACAAACGAUGGCGAGAAAUACUUCAACAUUGAAUAAAGCAAAAUUUGUUCUUGAUCAAAAAUCACUCCACACUCUUUAGUGUUCUCUGGUAUUACCAUAUCUAACUUACUGUGUGGAGAUAUGGGGUAAUAAUUAUAAAAGCAAUCGUCACUCACUCAAAGUACCGCAAAAAAGAUUGGUGAGGAUCAUUCAUAAUGCCGCGUAUAGAGAACAUUCAAACCCUUUAUUUUAAAAAUCAGAGAUAUUAAAAUUUGCUGAUUUAGUGAAUUUUCAAGCUGCUAAAUUAAUGCAUAAAGUUAACAAUAAAUUGGUACCCAAAAACGUCAUACAGUAUUUCUCUAUAGGAGAGCAGAAAUAUGAUCUUAGAGGAAAAUUCAACUUAAAACACUUAUAUGUGAAAACAACGCUGGAAACCCACAGCAUUUCAGUAUGCGGGAUUAAAUUAUGGAACGGAUUGAGAAAGGAACUCAAACAAUGCACCAAGAUGAGCAAAUUCAAAAAACAAUACAAGCAGUUGAUGUUAGCUAAAAAUAAGAUAGAAGAGUCUUGAACUUGCUUUAUCAUGCUUGUCUUCAUCUUAUUUAUUUAUUCUUAUAUUGAUUAUUAUAUUUAUUGUUCUGUCAUGCUUCUUUUUAUUUUUUAUUAGUUAUUCAUUAUUACACUGGUUAUUAUAUGGAAUAAUAUGACAUGUAAUACAGGAAGUGAAUAACAUGUACUGUACAAGAUGUGUAACAGAUGGGGGGGUAGGAUUAAAUAAGCUUUGCUUCUUGCUACUCCUUUUGGACAUGUGCAACUUGGAAAUGAUUCAUGAGAUGUAUUCCAUUGUAUCCUGCAUGCAUGUUCAAAUAAAAUAAUGAAACCAAACCAAGCCUAAUAAGUCACA